UGCACGCGAACAGCCUUUCAUAAAAAGAUCCGUAACAGAAUCGACAUACGCUUUUCUGUAUAACCAGUUUCUGACGCCACUACUUAACCAGGAUCAAUGGAUGACUACACGAUACACAAGCUUCGUCACUGAAACGUGACAUCGCGGCUGAAAUCGCGUUGACCUACGUCACUGCGAAAUUAACGCAACGACAAGGUGGAAAAUGGAAAAUUGUAUAAAUAUCCCGAGGCUGCACGCAAGACGAUGGAAAAAGAACCUUGUUCCUUCGGAAGUGCCGUGUUAGAGGCUUUUCAAAAAUAAACCUGCACCACGUGUAGCCUUGAUCCUGUGCACGCAAUGCCGCAUACACAUGUGACACAUGAGGAUAAGAACGGGACACACGCACGUCUACCUAAAUCCUGCUAAAUCCAGCUACGUCCUACGUUCUUCGUUGCAACUAUGUGGCCGAAAAGCUGUCUUAAGGUGAACGGAACUAGCUCUAUGAUUCCCAUGUGUCUAUGACUUCCUGACACGAGCUGGAGGUAG
Molecule: long non-coding RNA, 525 nt
Organism: Osmia bicornis bicornis
Lineage: Eukaryota; Metazoa; Arthropoda; Insecta; Hymenoptera; Megachilidae
Exons: 3
Source: RefSeq, a predicted model, not a curated record